CCUUAUCACUUUUCCAGCCCAGCUAUCAAUUGAAAAAUGUGUUGGACGGAGAACUGAUAAGGGC
RNAcentral lists this microRNA precursor (64 nucleotides) under Tetraodon nigroviridis (spotted green pufferfish). RNAcentral's name for it is "Tni-Mir-184-P1_pre stem-loop". It matches the Rfam family "mir-184 microRNA precursor family", at positions 13 to 76 of the family's 86-position model. The record is from RNAcentral. Lineage: Eukaryota; Metazoa; Chordata; Actinopteri; Tetraodontiformes; Tetraodontidae.